This 202-nucleotide long non-coding RNA is filed under the name Carica papaya (papaya). RNAcentral describes it as "long non-coding RNA (CPAP_LNC000399)". The record is from RNAcentral. Lineage: Eukaryota; Viridiplantae; Streptophyta; Magnoliopsida; Brassicales; Caricaceae.
UAUGAUCGCUCAUGUUUCAUUCCGCGCUGCAAAUACAUGAACUCUUUCUCCUUCCAUCCCCCCUCCGGUCAUUUGUUUCCAUGUGCGUGCACUAUGCAUCUCUCCUUCUCGUUCUAAUAUCAAGUAAAAUUCUCCGGCACCGUGACUCACCUUUGCGAAUGAACCAGCGGUUCAUAAUUCCAUUCGCGCGUAAUGUCGAACG